RNAcentral lists this RNase P RNA (432 nucleotides) under Haloferax sp. Atlit-6N. Its description in RNAcentral is "RNase P RNA component". It matches the Rfam family "Archaeal RNase P". From Rfam's summary of the family: Ribonuclease P (RNase P) is a ubiquitous endoribonuclease, found in archaea, bacteria and eukarya as well as chloroplasts and mitochondria. The record is from RNAcentral. Lineage: Archaea; Methanobacteriati; Methanobacteriota; Halobacteria; Halobacteriales; Haloferacaceae.
GGCAGAGAGAGCCCAGUUCCCGUGCCCGAGACGGGCAUGAGGAAAGUCCCCCCACCGUCCGAACGGGUGACCGGGCGCAAGCCCGGAGUCGGAGACGGCUGGCGCUGGAACAGAAACGAGACCGCUCGACUUGACCGAUGAUGCGCGCGCGACGGCUCCGCCGUCGCCGGCGCGGACGGGAGACUCGUCCGCGUGCGAACCGACCCGUAAGGGAAGGGAGUUAACCCGCAGAGGGAGUGAGAUGGCGUCGCCAUCUCUGACGGUCGAGAACGGAUGGAACGGCGAAUCCUCACCGGUGCAAGUCCGCGCCGCGAAGGUAGUUCGGACGGCGCGUCGGGUUCGCCCGUCGCGCCCUCGGGGCUCGCCCCGAGAAGGACGCGGACGCUGAGCCGAAUGCUGGGACGAACAGAAGGGGGCUUACUCCUCUCAGCC